AUCUGAGGAUGUGACUACCGAUGGAUAUGGAAAGCUUGCAUUCCAUUGAAAAUACAAAUCAUUAUGUGGCAACUGUCAGAGGAUGCGGUACUGACUAGAGAUGUGAUGAAACAUCGGGGGUGGAAAGGGGAGCCUAAAUGCUCGUUCUGCGAGGAAAGAGAAACCUCCCAGCACUUGUUUUUUACUUGUCCAAUUGCCAGGGUGACAUGGAGAGUUGUUGCGUGCAUGUUUGGUACAGAACUAUGCCCUGACAAUAUGUGGCAAGCUUAUUCCUGGUGCUCCUUCUUCCGAGGAGGAGAGAUAUUCUAUACGGUUCGCAAUGCAGCUUUUUGCUGGGCAACAUGGACAUGUUGUAACAGAGCUACAUUCGAGUUCAGACCACUUAAAACCCCGUUUGAAUGCAUUUUCUCUACUUGUGCUCUUCUAUGUUAUCAGGCAGGUCUGAUGAAGCAGGAGGAUGCGGCUGAUCUGAGGACAUGGGGAAUCAUGCUGCAGAACAACGCCUCGAGACUGAUGCAAAUCUAUGCUGCCGCAAAUCAGGAUGAUGGGGCUCGCUAA
RNAcentral lists this ribosomal RNA (558 nucleotides) under Triticum aestivum (bread wheat). Its description in RNAcentral is "partial small subunit ribosomal RNA". The record is from RNAcentral. Lineage: Eukaryota; Viridiplantae; Streptophyta; Magnoliopsida; Poales; Poaceae.